UGGCAGCUGCUUCCUGCAGUCGCUGUCCCCAAUAACUUUGGGCUCUCUGCCUUCCACUCUUCAAUACCCAAGGAACACUUCUUUGUAUUCAGUUCUCUGUUAGAGCCUCUGGUGUGAUGUUUGGGCCCUGACUGGACUGGCUCUCCUCUCCGGUCUCCUCCUCUGUCACUCUGUCCUGGUGUCUGGUAGUUUUGAGAGAGGGUGGGAUGUGAUGUCAGCAGAUUGGACUGCACUUGCAAAAGCUGUCCCACAGUGACCAAUGAAAUACUGCUUCAGGACAUCUGAGAUCAAGGCCAAGUAGGAGUCCCAGCCAGGCCUGGUCUGGGUCCAGGGUCAGCAGCUGGGGUCAGUGGUCACUUAGUGGCUGGGUGUAGGACCCAGGCUGUGGUGGGGUCAGGGUAUGUCAUGGGUCACUUGUGGUCAGGUCCAAGACUGAAGCCUGGCUGGCAUUGGGUGUUGAGUGUUGGAGUUGAUUCUAGGGCCAGGCUGCAGCUUCCCCACUGAGGGAGACUGGCUUUCCUUAACAAACUACACCUCUGUGCCUGGCCAGGCCUACAAGCCCCCUUUCCUAAUCCUGGCCCUCUAUCCUUAAGCCCUGCCCCACAGUCUGUCUCCAUCAGGCCUGAGAAGGACCAGUCAGUGUUCCUAGAGGGUCUGUUCAUCCAAGCUGAGGCCCCUGCAUCCUGUCUGCUGAGGUUCCCAGCUCAAAGGCAGUGACCCAGACCCAUGAUUCUCAAAACGUGCUUUUCCUAGUACAAGAGAUGCCAGUAUCUCCCAGGAACUUGUCCCAGGGGAGAGUGCAAAUGCAGUUCCCCAUUACCACAAAUUAUGAAGUCGAGUUUCCCACCUUUGGGGAAAUUGCAGGGAUCAGCACAUCCAGAGUACAAUGGAGAAGACUCGCCCUGGGAAAACCACCUUUGUGAUCAUGGUCUCUCCCCUGAUGGAAUACAAUUGGAAAAACUGGUUAUUUUCCCAAGGCUUUGACUGGAAUGGUGUGCUCUCCUCUAAGGAAUCAAACUUAAGAAGCCAAUGAAACCCUUGGAAAACUGGCCUCAUAUUUUGUGUGCACAGUCCCUGUACAGGGUUUCUGAUGUGUGUUUAAAUUAUAUCCGUUACAGAAAUCAACUCCUGGAUACAUCAUAUUCAAGUCAAAGCCUAAAGAGCUGAGAAAGCAACCCCUAACAGUCCAAAAAAAGUCCUAUUCAUGUAAAAAAAUAAAUAAGAAAUCUUAAGCUAAAAAUCAUAAAAGUUAAGUAACUAAGUAAAAAUUGCUCAUCUUACUCAGUCUCAACCCCACCUCACCAAAUACUUUUUGUCGUUUCUACUUCUCCUUUUAAGCCAACUAUUAAAACCUUUUUUAAUGAAAAUUAUUUACUAUGACACCCUCGCGGGAACUGCUGUACUCACUCUACUAUUUGCAGUAGGACUGUGAACCCUCAGAGUGGAAUAUCUGACAGAGAAUCUCAAUUACUGUAGCAUUUUGCUUAAUUAUUAUCCUCAUAGCAGGAAUAACAGUUACUAACAAAAAAUAACACAUGGGUCUUUCCAAACAUGCACCUCUGCCUGUCAUUAAAAAAAAAAAAAAAAAAAGUUACUUCUGUCUCAACCAGUCGG
This 1614-nucleotide long non-coding RNA is filed under the name Homo sapiens (human). RNAcentral's name for it is "HSALNT0314336". Lineage: Eukaryota; Metazoa; Chordata; Mammalia; Primates; Hominidae. The record is from RNAcentral.